ACAGCCCCGUACACAAAAAUGCACAUGCUGUGAGCUCGAUGAGUAGGGCGGGACACGUGGUAUCCUGUCUGAAUAUGGGGGGACCAUCCUCCAAGGCUAAAUACUCCUGACUGACCGAUAGUGAACCAGUACCGUGAGGGAAAGGCGAAAAGAACCCCGGCGAGGGGAGUGAAAAAGAACCUGAAACCGUGUACGUACAAGCAGUGGGAGCACGCUUAGGCGUGUGACUGCGUACCUUUUGUAUAAUGGGUCAGCGACUUAUAUUCUGUAGCAAGGUUAACCGAAUAGGGGAGCCGAAGGGAAACCGAGUCUUAACUGGGCGUUAAGUUGCAGGGUAUAGACCCGAAACCCGGUGAUCUAGCCAUGGGCAGGUUGAAGGUUGGGUAACACUAACUGGAGGACCGAACCGACUAAUGUUGAAAAAUUAGCGGAUGACUUGUGGCUGGGGGUGAAAGGCCAAUCAAACCGGGAGAUAGCUGGUUCUCCCCGAAAGCUAUUUAGGUAGCGCCUCGUGAAUUCAUCUCCGGGGGUAGAGCACUGUUUCGGCAAGGGGGUCAUCCCGACUUACCAACCCGAUGCAAACUGCGAAUACCGGAGAAUGUUAUCACGGGAGACACACGGCGGGUGCUAACGUCCGUCGUGAAGAGGGAAACAACCCAGACCGCCAGCUAAGGUCCCAAAGUCAUGGUUAAGUGGGAAACGAUGUGGGAAGGCCCAGACAGCCAGGAUGUUGGCUUAGAAGCAGCCAUCAUUUAAAGAAAGCGUAAUAGCUCACUGGUCGAGUCGGCCUGCGCGGAAGAUGUAACGGGGCUAAACCAUGCACCGAAGCUGCGGCAGCGACGCUUAUGCGUUGUUGGGUAGGGGAGCGUUCUGUAAGCCUGUGAAGGUGUACUGUGAGGUAUGCUGGAGGUAUCAGAAGUGCGAAUGCUGACAUAAGUAACGAUAAAGCGGGUGAAAAGCCCGCUCGCCGGAAGACCAAGGGUUCCUGUCCAACGUUAAUCGGGGCAGGGUGAGUCGACCCCUAAGGCGAGGCCGAAAGGCGUAGUCGAUGGGAAACAGGUUAAUAUUCCUGUACUUGGUGUUACUGCGAAGGGGGGACGGAGAAGGCUAUGUUGGCCGGGCGACGGUUGUCCCGGUUUAAGCGUGUAGGCUGGUUUUCCAGGCAAAUCCGGAAAAUCAAGGCUGAGGCGUGAUGACGAGGCACUACGGUGCUGAAGCAACAAAUGCCCUGCUUCCAGGAAAAGCCUCUAAGCAUCAGGUAACAUCAAAUCGUACCCCAAACCGACACAGGUGGUCAGGUAGAGAAUACCAAGGCGCUUGAGAGAACUCGGGUGAAGGAACUAGGCAAAAUGGUGCCGUAACUUCGGGAGAAGG
RNAcentral lists this ribosomal RNA (1374 nucleotides) under Escherichia coli. RNAcentral's name for it is "partial 23S ribosomal RNA". It matches the Rfam family "Bacterial large subunit ribosomal RNA", at positions 367 to 1746 of the family's 2925-position model. The record is from RNAcentral. Lineage: Bacteria; Pseudomonadati; Pseudomonadota; Gammaproteobacteria; Enterobacterales; Enterobacteriaceae.